This 1407-nucleotide ribosomal RNA is filed under the name uncultured eukaryote. RNAcentral describes it as "partial small subunit ribosomal RNA". It matches the Rfam family "Eukaryotic small subunit ribosomal RNA", at positions 32 to 1472 of the family's 1831-position model. The record is from RNAcentral.
UUAUUUCAAAGAUUAAGCCAUGCAUGUCUAAGCAUGAGCUAAAUCAAAGUGAAGCCGCGAAUAGCUCAUUACAAUAGCCGUUGUUUCUUGGAUCCUAACUUUACUUGGAUACCUGUGGUAAUUCUAGAGCUAAUACAUGCGACUAAGAGCCGACCUCACGGGACGCUUGCAUUUAUUAAAUCAAGACUAACCGGCUUCGGCCGUUACUUGGUGACUCUGAAUAACUGAGCUGAUCGCACGGUCUAGUGCCGGCGACAUAUCUUUCAAGUGUCUACCUUAUCAACUUUCGAUGGUAGUUUAUGUGACUACCAUGGUUGUAACGGGUAACGGAGAAUCAGGGUUUGACUCCGGAGAGGGAGCCUGAGAAACGGCUACCACUUCUAAGGAAGGCAGCAGGCGCGCAAAUUACCCAUUCUCGGCAUGAGGAGGUAGUGACGAAAAAUACCGAGGCGAUGCCCUUUCGGGUGUCGUCAUUGGAAUGAGAAAAAUAUAAAUCUUUUAAGAGGAUCUAGUGGAGGGCAAGUCUGGUGCCAGCAGCCGCGGUAAUUCCAGCUCCGCAAGUGUAUAUCUAUGCUGCUGCGGUUAAAAAGCUCGUAGUUUGAUUCGCGUACUUAGCACGCAGUGUGGCCUGACGGCUACUACUGUGAUGCGGUACAUUAUCGUUGGUUUGCCGUUGAUGCUCUUAAUCGGGUGUCGGCGGCUGCUGACAAGUUUACUUUGAACAAAUUAAAGUGCUCAAAACAGGCGUUUUCGCUUGUAUAGUUUUGCAUGGAAUAAUAGAAUAGGACUUUUGUUCUAUUUUGUUGGUUUUCAGAACGAAAGUAAUGAUUAAGAGGGAAAGGACGGGGGCAUUCGAAUUGCGACGUUAGAGGUGAAAUUCUUGGAUCGUCGCAAGACGGACAACUGCGAAAGCAUUUGCCAAGAAUGUUUUCAUUAAUCAAGAACGAAAGUUAGAGGUUCGAAGGCGAUCAGAUACCGCCCUAGUUCUAACCGUAAACGAUGCCAACUAGCGAUUCGCCGGCGUUAGUUUACGACCCGGCGGGCAGCUUCCCGGAAACGAAAGUCUUCCGGUUCCGUGGGAAGUAUGGUUGCAAAGCUGAAACUUAAAGGAAUUGACGGAAGGGCACCACCAGGAGUGGAGCCUGCGGCUUAAUUUGACCCAACACGGGAAAACUCACCAGGUCAGAACACCGUAAGGAUUGACAGAUUGAUCGCUCUUUCUUGAUUCGGUGGGUGGUGGUGCAUGGCCGUUCUUAGUUGGUGGAGUGAUUUGUCUGGUUUAUUCCGAUAACGAACGAGACUCUAGCCUGCUAAAUAGCGAGCGGAUAAAUUUGUCCGCAAUACUUCUUAGAGGGACAAGCGGUGUUGAGCCGCACGAGAUUGAGCAAUAACAGGUCUGUGAUGCCC